This 706-nucleotide ribosomal RNA is filed under the name Salmonella enterica. RNAcentral describes it as "bacterial SSU rRNA". Lineage: Bacteria; Pseudomonadati; Pseudomonadota; Gammaproteobacteria; Enterobacterales; Enterobacteriaceae. The record is from RNAcentral.
AAAUUGAAGAGUUUGAUCAUGGCUCAGAUUGAACGCUGGCGGCAGGCCUAACACAUGCAAGUCGAACGGUAACAGGAAGCAGCUUGCUGCUUUGCUGACGAGUGGCGGACGGGUGAGUAAUGUCUGGGAAACUGCCUGAUGGAGGGGGAUAACUACUGGAAACGGUGGCUAAUACCGCAUAACGUCGCAAGACCAAAGAGGGGGACCUUCGGGCCUCUUGCCAUCAGAUGUGCCCAGAUGGGAUUAGCUKGUUGGUGAGGUAACGGCUCACCAAGGCGACGAUCCCUAGCUGGUCUGAGAGGAUGACCAGCCACACUGGAACUGAGACACGGUCCAGACUCCUACGGGAGGCAGCAGUGGGGAAUAUUGCACAAUGGGCGCAAGCCUGAUGCAGCCAUGCCGCGUGUAUGAAGAAGGCCUUCGGGUUGUAAAGUACUUUCAGCGGGGAGGAAGGUGUUGUGGUUAAUAACCGCAGCAAUUGACGUUACCCGCAGAAGAAGCACCGGCUAACUCCGUGCCAGCAGCCGCGGUAAUACGGAGGGUGCAAGCGUUAAUCGGAAUUACUGGGCGUAAAGCGCACGCAGGCGGUCUGUCAAGUCGGAUGUGAAAUCCCCGGGCUCAACCUGGGAACUGCAUUCGAAACUGGCAGGCUUGAGUCUUGUAGAGGGGGGUAGAAUUCCAGGUGUAGCGGUGAAAUGCGUAGAGA